Molecule: long non-coding RNA, 404 nt
Filed under: Ananas comosus (pineapple)
Lineage: Eukaryota; Viridiplantae; Streptophyta; Magnoliopsida; Poales; Bromeliaceae
Description: long non-coding RNA (ACOM_LNC009552)
Source: RNAcentral
UGGCAAAAGAAAUGUGUAACUAUGACUUGACUUGUGAUUGCGAAAAUAUUAUAUUAUAUAAAGUGAAAAGUGUGGUAAAAAAGUAAUAAUUUAUUUUGAUGAAUGAUACCACGCUACAUAUAUUAAGUCAGUUAAAAUAUAUAUUCUACAGUUACACUAAAAAGCCAGAAAACUGAGAAGCAUGUUUUUAUAAGUUUUUGUUUUAAUUCUAUUUUAUUUGAGAUAUAUUACGUUAUAUAUGAUAAGAAUAAGAUGUGAAGUAUUUUAUUUAUUUUCGUAUAUCAUGUUGCGCCUAUCUUUUUAAAUUCCCAUUUGCCUUUUCCCCAACUCCGCUUUGUGUAGGAGCAUUAGAUGGACCUCAAUACCAAACGAGUCCUUAGACGGGCUUUAGUACCAAACGGACC